CCGACAGUGUGAGAGGUGAGGCUGAGCUGCUGCUGCCUCAUCUCUAUCUCUCCCUGCAACUGAAGGAUACCUGAAAGUCUGGUCCCAGCCAUACUACAUACUGUACAAAGCGCAGAUAAGCCUGGGUUCCAAUGCAAAGAUUGUACAUGUGACAUGGAACAUUGAAAUGUACACUUCUAUUCUACACACAUGAGAAGUACAGUAUAAUGACAGUAUCACAGAGAAGAGGAGACACAGGUCGUCUCUAGAUGCGCAGGACUCCAGCUUCAAUUCUCCUUCUGUGGUAAAAUAAGAUUUUACUCACAGCAAUAGCACAACCUUAAGAGGCACAUCCCAAAAGAUGAUUUCUUCCCUGGGAAACGCAUACUGUAUGACUCAACCUGGUCGCAUCAGUUUGUCACGUGGCUGCGUAUCU
Molecule: long non-coding RNA, 415 nt
Organism: Pseudophryne corroboree (corroboree frog)
Lineage: Eukaryota; Metazoa; Chordata; Amphibia; Anura; Myobatrachidae
Exons: 4
Source: RefSeq, a predicted model, not a curated record